This is a ribosomal RNA of 79 nucleotides. The stretch from base 1 to 71 matches the Rfam family "Bacterial small subunit ribosomal RNA", at positions 1463 to 1533 of the family's 1533-position model.
CAAAACCAAUGACUGGGGUGAAGUCGUAACAAGGUAGCCGUAUCGGAAGGUGCGGCUGGAUCACCUCCUUUCUAAGGAA